AUUGAACGCUGGCGGCGUGCUUAACACAUGCAAGUCGUGCGGUAACAGGCGUAGCAAUACGUGCUGACGAGCGGCGAACGGGUGCGUAAUACAUGGGAAUCUGCCCUUUAGUGGGGAAUAACCCGGCGAAAGCCGGGCUAAUGCCGCAUAAGAUCUUCGGAUGAAAGCGGGGGAUCGUAAGACCUCGCGCUGAUGGAUGAGCCCAUGUCGGAUUAGCAGUUGGUGAGGUAACGGCUCACCAAGGCGACGAUCCGUAGCUGGUCUGAGAGGACGGCCAGCCACACUGGGAUUGAGACACGGCCCAGACUCCUACGGGAGGCAGCAGUGGGGGAAUAUUGGACAAUGGGCGAAAGCCUGAUCCAGCGACGCCGCGUGUGUGAAGAAGGCCUGCGGGUUGUAAAGCACUUUCG
RNAcentral lists this ribosomal RNA (410 nucleotides) under uncultured bacterium. Its description in RNAcentral is "bacterial SSU rRNA". It matches the Rfam family "Bacterial small subunit ribosomal RNA", at positions 30 to 438 of the family's 1533-position model. The record is from RNAcentral.